This 246-nucleotide long non-coding RNA is filed under the name Brassica rapa (field mustard). RNAcentral's name for it is "long non-coding RNA (BRAP_LNC008222)". Lineage: Eukaryota; Viridiplantae; Streptophyta; Magnoliopsida; Brassicales; Brassicaceae. The record is from RNAcentral.
UCGAUACCAACGAGAUCCCAGACAGAUCAAUAGAAUUGCCGUUCUCCGUAGUGGUAGUUGUGGUCAAAAAUACUUCACAACCCUGUCUAAGCAUCCGAUUCACUUGGACUGCUGACACCCCUACUUUCCUUAGAGUCGGACUCAGACUCAGACUUUGGUACUGGAUUGGGUGAGGUCCAGUCUCCAAUUGCACACGAACUUUGUGGCAAUCGAGAGUGGCCCGAUACUUUCCCAAACAGAUUCAUG